UACGUAGGUGACCAGCGUUGUCCGGAUUUACUGGGCGUAAAGAGCGCGCAGGCGGUCGUUCAAGUCGAGUGUGAAAGCCCCCGGCUCAACUGGGGAGGGUCAUUCAAUACUGAUCGACUGGAAGGCAGGAGAGGGAAGCGGAAUUCCCGGUGUAGUGGUGAAAUGCGUAGAUAUCGGGAGGAACACCAGUGGCGAAGGCGGCUUCCUGGCCUGUUCUUGACGCUGAGGCGCGAAAGCUAGGGGAGCAAACGGG
This 253-nucleotide ribosomal RNA is filed under the name uncultured bacterium. RNAcentral describes it as "partial 16S ribosomal RNA". It matches the Rfam family "Bacterial small subunit ribosomal RNA", at positions 524 to 776 of the family's 1533-position model. The record is from RNAcentral.